Long non-coding RNA from Cynoglossus semilaevis (tongue sole), 1345 nucleotides. RefSeq lists it as uncharacterized. NCBI's taxonomy places the organism in Eukaryota, Metazoa, Chordata, Actinopteri, Pleuronectiformes, Cynoglossidae. The transcript has 7 exons. The record is from RefSeq and is a predicted model, not a curated record.
UAGUAAUACGUUGCACGGCCCUUAUUUCCGGAUCCGGCGUACCUGACACAAGUGUUAGCCAUUUGGACUUCAAGCGGGUGUUCAAGUUAAAACGGUGGCUACAUUUGAUUGAUUGUAAUGAAACCCAUCCUACUGCAGGGCAACGAACGCUCCACCACACGCAUGAAGUAAAACGUGGCCAACAUGUGGUAUGACUCGAUUCCUAAAAUGCACACACCGGUGCUGUGCGCUGCAUCGACUGUCACUGCGACUCCAAAAAUGUUUUGACAGGAUCAGCUGAAACAGCUGUUGACUGUGGGACUGCGAGACCAAGCAUGCGGGUUCGAUUUCAGCGGCAACAUCAACAUGUUUUCCACAGACAAGCAGAUGGGCUAUCAGUGUUUCAUGAACUUCUUCGACUUGAGUGAUCCAUAAUAGAUCGAGAAGUCCUGAAGAAAGCUAAGGAGCACAGCAGGCACAUCGACAUCCAGAUGACUGUAGACCUCACCAUAUUUAUCAGUGCCUCAAAGGACAACACCGCCAAGGUGGUUAUGGGAGGAGGCCACGGAAGUGACCACAACUUCCACCAGGCGAGGUUAGUUGGAGUGGUGUUUCCAGAGUAUUAUUGUGCAGUUGAGUAAAGCAUUCAGUGACUGUUGUCUUCAGCUGAACAAAAGAAACAGAUGUAACUUAUUCCAUUGUGGUGUUAGCAUUAGCACUGAAGAAGCCAUGACUUUGUUAAAAACAGACCUUUAUGUAAUGUUGUUUUAUUGAAUUGUGUAACUUGAGCUGUAUUUGAUUGCUAUUGUCACUAGACAGUGCAAUAGAGAGAGUAACUUUAUUUGAAGCAGAUCACUUCUUGUUUGUUGGACUUGUCAUUACAAAGUUGUAGUGACUUUCAUUGUGUAACUUGAUUGCUAUUGACACUUUUUUUUUGACUUAGUGUUUUUUUUAGUUCAAUUCUUGACUUAGUUACGUAGUGCAAUCAUUGUGUAACUUGAUGUCUUGUAAACCUUCCAAUAAAAGAAAAUUGUUGGAGCUUUGUGUCCAUUAUUAUAUUUAUAAUGGUUAUUUGAAGAUAUUGAGCCAAAGUGAAUGGGGUUUACCAUUGCCCUUUUUGGCGUGCAUUGUUAAAGUCAAGGUUGUAGGUAAAGGAAAAGAAAGAAAAACAGAAAAGGAAAAAAAAAAUUUAAUUUAAAUUUAUUUUAAUUUUUGUUAGUUAUGUAAAAACUAUCUAGUAAAAAAUAAGCUAAAACUAAGUUACAAACCAACCAGAAUACUUCCACAAUGAACAGAACAAUAACAUCAUUUUACUCUUUUAAUAGCAAAACACUUCACAUUUACAAAACAUGCAUUCAAUCACAAA